Molecule: long non-coding RNA, 359 nt
Filed under: Gossypium raimondii (Peruvian cotton)
Lineage: Eukaryota; Viridiplantae; Streptophyta; Magnoliopsida; Malvales; Malvaceae
Description: long non-coding RNA (GRAI_LNC003359)
Source: RNAcentral
UUUUUUCAUUGACUCAAAACAAGGCAUUAAGUCAUUACAUAUUUCAGUCAACAAGUAAAACAAACAAGUAAUCACCUAAUCAACUACCUAACUCCACUAAUUUGCAUUGAAACUUACAAGAUUAGCUUGUACAACUUGCAUUGCUGACUUUUCAGUCAAUCAAUAUCAAAACAUUUACCUACUUAGUUCAACAUGAACUAGAUUACAAAACAAUCAAAAUGGAACCAAAACAGCAAGUGGAUUGGCAGCUUCAAACUUCAGUUGCUGCACACAAUGGCACCACUGCUUGCUGCUAUUUCUUCGAGCAUCACCACCUUUGCAUGUCGUGCAUGGCCACCUUUGCAUGGGAACUAAACUUA